UCUCUGUGAUGAAUGUAACAUGACAAGCAUGUGACUAAAUUCUAAGUGAUGUCAUCUUACUAGUAAGGAA
Molecule: small nucleolar RNA, 70 nt
Filed under: Sciurus vulgaris (Eurasian red squirrel)
Lineage: Eukaryota; Metazoa; Chordata; Mammalia; Rodentia; Sciuridae
Description: Small nucleolar RNA SNORD27 (ENSSVLG00005018956.1)
Rfam family: Small nucleolar RNA SNORD27
About the family: U27 is a member of the C/D class of snoRNA which contain the C (UGAUGA) and D (CUGA) box motifs. U27 is encoded within the U22 snoRNA host gene (UHG) in mammals and is thought to act as a 2'-O-ribose methylation guide for ribosomal RNA. This family also contains several related snoRNAs from yeast and plants.
Source: Rfam by way of RNAcentral